This 1153-nucleotide ribosomal RNA is filed under the name uncultured bacterium. RNAcentral's name for it is "bacterial SSU rRNA". It matches the Rfam family "Bacterial small subunit ribosomal RNA", at positions 222 to 1376 of the family's 1533-position model. The record is from RNAcentral.
GGGAAGAGCGCGCGACCGAACAGCGAGGGGGCGGGGAAACACCCCACCAAGGCGACGAACGGUAGCCCGGCCAGAGAGGGAGACCGGCCACAGAGGGACAGAGACACGGCCCACACCCCGACGGGAGGCAGCAGUAGGGAAUAUUGCGCAAUGGGGGGAACCCUGACGCAGCAACGCCACGUGUGGGAAGAAGCAUUUCGGUGUGUAAACCACUGUCGGAAAGGAAUAACGGAAGACUUCGGUCUUUAUGAAUGUACUUUUAGAGGAAGCACCGGCAAACUUCGUGCCAGCAGCCGCGGUAAUACGAGGGGUGCAAGCGUUGUUCGGAAUCACUGGGCGUAAAGGGAGCGUAGGCGGAAGUGCAAGCAAUCUGUAUAAUCCUGGGGCCCAACCCCAGUUCUGCAGAUUGGACUGUAUUUCUUGAAUAGUUCAGAGGCAAGCGGAAUUUCUGGUGUAGCGGUGGAAUGCGUAGAGAUCAGAAAGAACACCAAUGGCGAAGGCAGCUUGCUGGGGACUUAUUGACGCUGAGGCUCGAAAGUGUGGGCCAGCAAAGAGCAUUAGAUACCCCGGUAAGUCCACACUGUAAACGAUGCAUACUGGGUGUCCGAAAUUCGUUUCGGGUACCGUAGCUAACGCGUAAAGUAUGCCGCCUGGGGAGUACGUACGCAAGAAUGAAACUCAAAAGGAAUUGACGGGGGCCCGCACAAGCGGAGGAACAUGUGGUUUAAUUCGAUGAUACGCGAGGAACCUUACCCGGGCUUGAAAGUUAGUGACGGACUUGGAAACAGGUCUUCCCUUCGGGGCACGAAACUAGGUGCUGCAUGGUUGUCGUCAGCUCGUGCCGUGAGGUGUCGGGUUAAGUCCCAUAACGAGCGCAACCCCUGUCGUUAGUUGCCUGCAUGUAAUGAUGGGGACUCUGACAAGACUGCCGGUGUAAACCGCGAGGAAGGUGGGGAUGACGUCAAAUCAGCACGGCCCUUAUGUCCGGGGCGACACACGUGUUACAAUGGUCGGUACAGCGAGCAGCCACUUGGUGACAAGGAGCUAAUCUCAAAAGCCGAUCUUAGUUCGGAUCGGAGUCUGCAACUCGACCCCGUGAAGCCGGAUUCGCUAGUAAUCGCGCAUCAGACAUGGCGCGGUGAAUACGUUCCCG